RNAcentral lists this long non-coding RNA (725 nucleotides) under Lactuca sativa (garden lettuce). RNAcentral describes it as "long non-coding RNA (LSAT_LNC005001)". The record is from RNAcentral. Lineage: Eukaryota; Viridiplantae; Streptophyta; Magnoliopsida; Asterales; Asteraceae.
UUUAACCCUCCUCGCUUUCAAACGCUUUCAAAAAACCCUGUUUUCCAUAGUGAAAAAUCAUCAUCAAAAGCUCGAUUUCUCUGAUACAUUCUUAACAUUGAAGAUUGGAACUCCCAGUUGUGAUUAUCGAUUGGUCUAGAUCUCUUACGUCAUAUCAUUCUCCAUUUGGUAUAGAAAUCGCAAGAGGUAAAACCCUAAUCCUACGAAGCUAUGCACACAGUUACACAUAUAGCUGCUCUUAUUAGAUCCCAAGAAGCUUGGUGAACAUACCCAAAUCCCUCAUGGAUGUUCCUUCUUUCGCUGCCUUGAUAGCUGCUUGGCUUAACUCCUUAAUUUUAACUCGUUCCAGCGUUUAGAUUGUCCACAUUUAUGAAAGAGGUAUUAAUUAGUAUGAUUAUUAUGGAGGAAAAAAGAAUAUGCGUGGAAGCCAAUUUAUAUUAUUUAACAUGAACUGACUUCAUUGAUUACGUUGUUUUGGUUAAAGGUUAUGGUUUAGGAUAAAAUGGAUUGAUAUUCCAACUCGUUGGAGCUCAAAUGGUUCACAUGUAUCCACCGUAAAUGCAGAAGAGGGUGGUUGUUGCUACGCUUAUUAAUGUUGUUUUUUCAUCGUUUUCUUUUUUGCCUAUCCUAAAGAUCAUCGGAAAAUAUAUUUAGAUCUCGGAUUACCUUUUAUCAUUUGUAAGUAUUGAUUCACUAAACAUAUUAUAUUUUUACAUGGAUUUCAA